AUAUAACUAGGCGGAGGAAAAGAAACUAACCAGGAUUCCCUUAGUAACGGCGAGUGAAGCGGGAAAAGCUCAGACGUAAAAUCUUCGGAAAUGUCGUCUGGAGAAGCUAGAUUAUACUAUGAGGAUGGGCAAAGUCUUCUGGAAUGAAGCGCCAUGGAGGGUGACAGCCCCGUCUAUGCUUAUCCAACUAGUAAAUUUCGGCUUUCUACGAGUCGAGUUGUUUGGGAUUGCAGCUCUAAGUGGGUGGUAAAUUCCAUCUAAAGCUAAAUAUUGGUGGGAGACCGAUAGCGCACAAGUA
This 298-nucleotide ribosomal RNA is filed under the name uncultured eukaryote. RNAcentral's name for it is "partial large subunit ribosomal RNA". It matches the Rfam family "Eukaryotic large subunit ribosomal RNA", at positions 40 to 350 of the family's 3401-position model. The record is from RNAcentral.